This is a long non-coding RNA of Triticum aestivum (bread wheat), 1279 nucleotides long. RefSeq lists it as uncharacterized. The transcript has 3 exons. The record is from RefSeq and is a predicted model, not a curated record. Lineage: Eukaryota; Viridiplantae; Streptophyta; Magnoliopsida; Poales; Poaceae.
UCCAAACCGCACGCAACGGACAGCAGUAAAAAACUGCCCCACACAUACGCACCUCACGCGUCCCAGCGAAGAAGAAUGAGAAAACGGUGGAGAGAUUAGAGCCGGCUCCGAGCAGCCGAACAUCGCCUCUGCGGAGAGGCUGCGCCGCACAGCCGUGAGGACCAGAGAAGAGUACGCCACCGGGCCAGGAACCUGCUGCCGCGAACCGCCGCGGCGGGCAGGGAAGGAGAGCCGCCGCGGAUUUGGGAGGAGCGUCGUCGCAGGGGUAGGGAGAGCGCCGCCCGGACCAAGCUCCUGCUCGACCGAUCAAGGACUCUCAAUUCCGGCCGCCUGCAGCACAUCAGGCCAUCAGCUAACAGAAUGGCGGCACCGGGCAAAGCUAGCGGUAUGCAACAGCAGAGAGGCCGUUGAUUUGCUUAUAUCUGGUUCUGCUAUUAAGUUACUGAAGCAAGACACCUUUUUCCUAUUGUUCUGGUGAAUUCGUCUCAGUGCAUUCAUCCUCUGAGUCAUCUGAUAUCACAACAGAUCUCAAGUCUCCUUAUAUUGCCACUAUGGGGCUCACGUGCUGGCGCUGCUGAUAUAUUGUGUUGACGCCCAUCUUUGUUUAAUGUACUCCCAUUACUGUCAAUGUGAUUUCUCUUUCACACGCAUUAGUUCACAUGAAAGUUUGCCCGGUAAAACUUUAUUAUUCUGUGACUGCAUACAUAUAAUUUUUUUUAAUUAGACACAUCUCUAAAAUCUGAAGUGUGCAUAGUUAAAAAAUCAAUUACCUCUUUAUCUGGCAUGUUCUGCUUCUUCAUUAACAUGGUGUCCACCUCAUCAUCUAUCAAUUCCUGUGCAACAUAUGUAAGAUGAAUUAGUUAAGGAAUUCUAAAGAUGGUACUUCAUAUUUUUGGAAAAAGGUUAUGCACCUUUACCUCCUCAGCUUUAUCGUUCAAGUAGAGCAUCUCAAGGCCAUCAUCAGGAAAAAAUGUUCUUUUUACUGCAUAGUGUUGUGUGCCAGAGGUCAGAUUAUAUCAUUGAAAUUGAAUCAAAAUAUAAGUUUUUCCACAUAAUUUUUUAAUAAUCUUUGGUGCUUCUUAUGAUUUCCCAUCUGGUGAGUCGGCAAGUUAGAUGUAGAUGUAUUAAGCAAGUUAUUCUUCUCUACACGGGCUUCAUUUGUGUUAGUAGUCCAAUGACAUAUGUAUAUUUUAAGAUUAUUGAUAUAACAUUUAGAAAUAUCAAUUAUAUGGAAGUUGUAAUUACAACUAUCGACAUACCUGAGCAUUGUGUAUCUUUC